GAGGCAUGUGAGGGCUGUCGCUGACUUUUUAACGCAAAAGGUCGUGCACGCCCGGAGCGUGUCCUCUCGCAUAAAAUCCAUCUCACCCUUUUGUGCACCACCGCGUGGGCACCCUUUGGGAUCAAACCGAUCCAGGAGGGCGCUUGCGUUUUCACACAAACCCCCUUUUAGAAGUGUAGAAUGACCCCAUUUUUGCGAUAACACGCAAUCAAAUACAACUUUCAACAACGGAUCUCUUGGCUCUCGCAUCGAUGAAGAACGCAGCGAAAUGCGAUACGUAAUGUGAAUUGCAGAAUUCAGUGAAUCAUCGAAUCUUUGAACGCACCUUGCGCCCCUUGGUAUUCCGAGGGGCACACCCGUUUGAGUGUCGUGAAAAUCUCAACCUCCUCGGUUUCUUCUGGACGCCGAAGGAGGCUUGGACUUUGGAGGCCUUUGCUGGCGUCUCUCGCCAGCUCCUCUCAAAUGAAUUAGCGGGGUCCUCUUUGCCGAUCCUCGACGUGUGAUAAGAUGUUUCCAUGUCUUGGUUUCUGGCUCUGUCGCCUUUGGGACCCGCUUCUAACCGUCUCAAGUCGAGACAACGUUUGAGCGUGUCUCCCUUCUCGGGAAACACCCUCGAGCCCACGAACCCUUGACCUCAAAUCGGUGAGACUACCCGCUGAACUUAAGCAUAUCAAU
RNAcentral lists this ribosomal RNA (675 nucleotides) under Lactarius sp. NA12_P32_E16. Its description in RNAcentral is "eukaryotic LSU rRNA". The stretch from base 217 to 370 matches the Rfam family "5.8S ribosomal RNA". The record is from RNAcentral. Lineage: Eukaryota; Fungi; Basidiomycota; Agaricomycetes; Russulales; Russulaceae.